GGGGCGGGGCGGGCCGCGGCGGCAUGUGGCGGCGGCGCGGAUGGGGACGGAGGACGUGGACGAUGGUACCGUGGCGGCCCUGAGGAGGGGUGACGAAGGUGGAGCUGUUACCAAAGGGGUUGGGGCGGCCGAAGCGGUGGUCGGUGAGGAAGUAGGUGUUAUUAGUAUCCUCUGUCGAUGUGCCCGCUCGGAUGCUCGUUCUGGAGCUGCUGCGACCGCCACCUUCUGGUGCCUACACUCCCGCGAACCUUCCGGCGCCACGGCGCUAAUUCAGUACUCCUGGCGCCGCCGUCGUCAGUUUUAGAAGUACUUCAGAGAGGCGAAUGGGAGGGAGCCAGACUAAAGAGAGGUUAGAAACUUAGGGGAGUCAAACUUGAUUACGGUACAUAAAAGACUUGUCAAUCACUUAGUAAACAGUCAACUUUCUACCAACUACGUGGUUUUUUCUAACAUAACUAAGUUAGACCUUUUCAGUUCUAGUGUUAUCGUUAAUGUAUACGUAAACAACCCGGUUUUCAUCGUCAAUGUAUACGUAAAUCAAUUAGAAAACCGGAUAGUGGCAAAGUACGUAAAAAAACACCUGAAAGUAAACUGGAACUCACAACUGAACGAAAAGACAACGAUUGUUACAGGCCGAACGGCUUACAUGAACGAAUAGGAACAUGACCUCAUGGUAAUAAGUGGUAUAUGUGUGAAAGGUUAAGACAGACAAAUGAUAGAUCCUCAGUCUGGUACCGACGUGCCUCGUCCAGGUGGGUGAUCCCCGACCGGCGGCACAGGCGGUACUCCUAAGGACGUGAUUCGGAACGGCCGCAAGGGCCGGUGGUUCCAUGAAGAUGAAUACACAGAGAUAUUCUAAGGACGUAUACAAAAACACGAAAGGUGAAUUACGUAACAAUCGAGAUACAAUGUGAAGAAAAUCCAUGAAGGACGAGGUUUUAGUUAUAUGUAUCCGUAUAAACGAGUACUUUGACGAGACCAAAAAGAAAAUCUCAAAUGAGGGUAAAUGAACACAGCAAGAUGUUAUUAUUGUCUUAACUAUAGCUAAUUUGAAGAAACUCAUAGAACUUUAAAUUACUAAAGGGUACCUUAUACUUCAAACUCUUACUGUGGACGACUCGACUUUUAUUAGAUCGCUCGUUAUCAUAUUACUUAUCAAUAAUGGCAUAGCCGUAGUGUAACGAGUACCCACUUAUUGUGUUGUUAUUUGAUCUUUUUACCUUUACGAGACAAACCAAACCCAUGGUAAGUCCUUUCAUCAAUUGUCUCUAUCUGAUAAACUGUCAACGUCUCACUGUGGUGGUGGUGUAUACUUCGUCUCUCAAACAUUUCUCUGUGAUUUAUUAGUAGACCUCACUCUGUGUUAACGAAAGAACAAAUCACUUCUGCUAGAAAAAACCCCACAUUAUAUUGAUACCAUCGAGAGACCUCACUCUUACGGCUCCGGGAUUUUUUGUCGGUAGCUGUGCCUCAAGGACGGUAAUUCCUAUUUUUUCGAUCGUCUCUUUGUCGAACCCCUUAGUGUUCGAAUAGAACGGAAAACUUACACGUCGGACAUUGGUCUCUUCGAACAAGAUUAAUAGCAUACGAAUAAAAGGGGCUCGACAAAGAGACGAUCGAUAAUAAGAGUUCGUUGAUGGUUUGAUACCUAUCUUCUUCAGGAUUGUACCUCGAUAAAGUUUUGUUCUACUCCUCUCUGAGUUCUUAAAUUUGUCAUUUUAUGCUUGGACGUGUACUAGUAUAUUACACGCCUAGUGUCCGACCGGUUUCGGAAGAAAGCUCAGAGGAUUGUAACGGACGAAUUAAAAGUGAUGGACGUUCAUGUUGAUCGAUCUUUAAAGCCAUACGACGAUACACGGAACUCAAACAUUCAGUUCUAGAGAAACGAAGGUCCUCUCAAACUGGUGAGUAUAGAGAGAAAAAGAACGGUGGACGUGAAUCAUUAAAAAAAAGGAUACUAUAUAUAACAUAGUAAAACCAACGACUUAUACUAUCAGCAUCGGGCAGUUUUAUAAUACUAUCGGCUAACUAAGAAGAAUUUUCCAUAUAACUGACAACGUUUCAAAUGGACCAGAAGAUAAAUAUAAAAGGUCUUAUGUCAGGAUCUCUACAACGAAAUAAACUCAAGACGAAUAACGUAAAUAACCUCGUGAACGUUACCCGUGUAACUUACAAAUUUACAAGGAGAACGACGACUGGUGUGAUGUCAAGUAAUAUAGAGUAACUCUGGAAUUAGUAGAAGGUACAAAUAAUCUUCCAUCGUAUCAUGACCAACUUGGGCUAUCAAUGGACUUUGGUAACGAAUUGUGGCUCGGGGAGAUGAAAGAUUUUCCAAAGGUAAAACCAAAUGACUUAUAAAAAAGGACGAACUUGAUAUAGUCAACCCGUUCACGAUCUUGGGUCCUCGUAUACUAAAACGACGAGUACUGUAUGCGCAGUUAUAACGUUAGUUGAGACUGACGUUAACAUAUCUGUUCCCGGACGUAAGAUAUACCUUCCAAGCUGUAACUUCGACGAGCGUAACUAGACGUUAUCUAGAACUGAAGUCGCCUUUUGCUCCAAAGUACCUCCGUCACGGAAUAAGAUGUACUACCCUUAAGUUGCCGUAAAAUAACAAAACAAGAAUUUAUGAUCGACCCACACGGCAGAUAAGUGUCUACUUCAUUAGACUUGUAGAGAACGUCUGUUUUGCGAGCCCCUUUCAAGGGUCGGCA
Molecule: ribosomal RNA, 2714 nt
Filed under: Triticum aestivum (bread wheat)
Lineage: Eukaryota; Viridiplantae; Streptophyta; Magnoliopsida; Poales; Poaceae
Description: partial small subunit ribosomal RNA
Source: RNAcentral